UACGAAGGGUGCAAACGUUGCUCGGAAUUAUUGGGCGUAAAGCGCACGUAGGCGGCUUUGCAAGUCGGAUGUGAAAUCCCUCGGCUUAACCAAGGAAGUGCAUCCGAAACUGCAGAGCUUGAGUACUUAAGAGGAUCGCGGAAUUCCCGGAUCGUAGAGGUGAAAUUCGUAGAUAUCGGGAGGAACACCAGUGGCGAAGGCGGCGAUCUGGGAAGAUACUGACGCUGAGGUGCGAAAGCGUGGGGAGCAAACAGG
Molecule: ribosomal RNA, 255 nt
Filed under: uncultured bacterium
Lineage: Bacteria
Description: partial 16S ribosomal RNA
Rfam family: Bacterial small subunit ribosomal RNA
Source: RNAcentral